UGGAGGACCGAACCGACUAAUGUUGAAAAAUUAGCGGAUGACCUGUGGCUGGGGGUGAAAGGCCAAUCAAACCGGGAGAUAGCUGGUUCUCCCCGAAAGCUAUUUAGGUAGCGCCUCGUGAAUUCAUCUCCGGGGGUAGAGCACUGUUUCGGCUAGGGGGCCAUCCCGGCUUACCAACCCGAUGCAAACUGCGAAUACCGGAGAAUGUUAUCACGGGAGACACACGGCGGGUGCUAACGUCCGUCGUGAAGAGGGAAACAACCCAGACCGCCAGCUAAGGUCCCAAAGUCAUGGUUAAGUGGGAAACGAUGUGGGAAGGCCCAGACAGCCAGGAUGUUGGCUUAGAAGCAGCCAUCAUUUAAAGAAAGCGUAAUAGCUCACUGGUCGAGUCGGCCUGCGCGGAAGAUGUAACGGGGCUAAACCAUGCACCGAAGCUGCGGCAGCGACACUGUGUGUUGUUGGGUAGGGGAGCGUUCUGUAAGCCUGUGAAGGUGUGUCGUGAGGCAUGCUGGAGGUAUCAGAAGUGCGAAUGCUGACAUAAGUAACGAUAAAGCGGGUGAAAAGCCCGCUCGCCGGAAGACCAAGGGUUCCUGUCCAACGUUAAUCGGGGCAGGGUGAGUCGACCCCUAAGGCGAGGCCGAAAGGCGUAGUCGAUGGGAAACGGGUUAAUAUUCCCGUACUUGGUGUUACUGCGAAGGGGGGACGGAGAAGGCUAUGUUGGCCGGGCGACGGUUGUCCCGGUUUAAGCGUGUAGGUGUGUGUUCCAGGUAAAUCCGGUUCACUUUAACACUGAGGCGUGACGACGAGGCACUACGGUGCUGAAGCAACAAAUGCCCUGCUUCCAGGAAAAGCCUCUAAGCAUCAGGUAACAUCAAAUCGUACCCCAAACCGACACAGGUGGUCAGGUAGAGAAUACCAAGGCGCUUGAGAGAACUCGGGUGAAGGAACUAGGCAAAAUGGUGCCGUAACUUCGGGAGAAGGCACGCUGACACGUAGGUGAAGUGAUUUACUCAUGGAGCUGAAGUCAGUCGAAGAUACCAGCUGGCUGCAACUGUUUAUUAAAAACACAGCACUGUGCAAACACGAAAGUGGACGUAUACGGUGUGACGCCUGCCCGGUGCCGGAAGGUUAAUUGAUGGGGUCAGCGCAAGCGAAGCUCCUGAUCGAAGCCCCGGUAAACGGCGGCCGUAACUAUAACGGUCCUAAGGUAGCGAAAUUCCUUGUCGGGUAAGUUCCGACCUGCACGAAUGGCGUAAUGAUGGCCAGGCUGUCUCCACCCGAGACUCAGUGAAAUUGAACUCGCUGUGAAGAUGCAGUGUACCCGCGGCAAGACGGAAAGACCCCGUGAACCUUUACUAUAGCUUGACACUGAACAUUGAGCCUUGAUGUGUAGGAUAGGUGGGAGGCUUUGAAGUGUGGACGCCAGUCUGCAUGGAGCCGACCUUGAAAUACCACCCUUUAAUGUUUGAUGUUCUAACGUGGACCCGUUACCCGGGUUGCGGACAGUGUCUGGUGGGUAGUUUGACUGGGGCGGUCUCCUCCUAAAGAGUAACGGAGGAGCACGAAGGUUGGCUAAUCCUGGUCGGACAUCAGGAGGUUAGUGCAAUGGCAUAAGCCAGCUUGACUGCGAGCGUGACGGCGCGAGCAGGUGCGAAAGCAGGUCAUAGUGAUCCGGUGGUUCUGAAUGGAAGGGCCAUCGCUCAACGGAUAAAAGGUACUCCGGGGAUAACAGGCUGAUACCGCCCAAGAGUUCAUAUCGACGGCGGUGUUUGGCACCUCGAUGUCGGCUCAUCACAUCCUGGGGCUGAAGUAGGUCCCAAGGGUAUGGCUGUUCGCCAUUUAAAGUGGUACGCGAGCUGGGUUUAGAACGUCGUGAGACAGUUCGGUCCCUAUCUGCCGUGGGCGCUGGAGAACUGAGGGGGGCUGCUCCUAGUACGAGAGGACCGGAGUGGACGCAUCACUGGUGUUCGGGUUGUCAUGCCAAUGGCACUGCCCGGUAGCUAAAUGCGGAAGAGAUAAGUGCUGAAAGCAUCUAAGCACGAAACUUGCCCCGA
RNAcentral lists this ribosomal RNA (2054 nucleotides) under Salmonella enterica subsp. enterica. Its description in RNAcentral is "partial 23S ribosomal RNA". It matches the Rfam family "Bacterial large subunit ribosomal RNA", at positions 767 to 2802 of the family's 2925-position model. Lineage: Bacteria; Pseudomonadati; Pseudomonadota; Gammaproteobacteria; Enterobacterales; Enterobacteriaceae. RNAcentral also lists the same sequence under 1 other name. The record is from RNAcentral.